UCUGAGAAUAGAGGUGCGAGUAUGAUGAGUCACUCAUAGGAGGGUUAUGGGCCCUGUGAUUAUGAGUAAAAGGCAUACUUGCCGAAAUGAAAAGUAGCCCUACUACUUUUUGUUGGGACAGCAUUUAAGAGAUGCUGUACUGUCACAAAUCGAUCAUUUGUGGAGAACUAUUGAGGAG
Molecule: non-coding RNA, 178 nt
Filed under: Bacillus coahuilensis
Lineage: Bacteria; Bacillati; Bacillota; Bacilli; Caryophanales; Bacillaceae
Also listed under: 1 other name
Description: Lysine sequence
Rfam family: Lysine riboswitch aptamer
About the family: Riboswitches are metabolite binding domains within certain messenger RNAs that serve as precision sensors for their corresponding targets. Allosteric rearrangement of mRNA structure is mediated by ligand binding, and this results in modulation of gene expression. This family includes riboswitches that sense lysine in a number of genes involved in lysine metabolism, including lysC.
Source: RNAcentral